RNAcentral lists this long non-coding RNA (1226 nucleotides) under Capsicum annuum. RNAcentral's name for it is "long non-coding RNA (CANN_LNC021488)". Lineage: Eukaryota; Viridiplantae; Streptophyta; Magnoliopsida; Solanales; Solanaceae. The record is from RNAcentral.
GGACUAACUGUUUACCAUAUUUUACAGGUUCUAUAAUCAUAACACAUUUCAUAGAACUAACAAUGACAAGAAAUCAUCUAACACAAUAAAGGAGAUAUCAAAUGACUCUAACAACAUUACAAAGGUUUCAUUCUCAGAAUAAGUUACUCUCUUGGUUACAUACUUCUUCAUCUUUUAAUUGCAAGUGUGUUGUAUUAAUGAACUUGAGUGCUCAUUCUACUUUGCGAAAAUCAAAUGAACAAAAUAUGCAGUAGAGGUGCCUGCAUCUAAAAAUGAGCCAAAGGAUUAAUUGCAAAUAGAGGAUGAAGACGUAUAAAAAUCAACAACAAGAUAUGAUCCAAAUUUUUUUGACAUUAUUUAUUUGAAGUCGUCAAAGUUAUUUACAAAGUGAUUUCUCAAACUUGGGAGAUCAACACACUACUUAUGAGGACAUAUGAUUUUCAAUAGGAUCCUUUGUAAGAGAUAUGUUUUGUUUUAUAACUAGAUAUGGAACACCUCUUAGUCACUGUUUAGUUCAGGUUUUUGCUUGGAGAAAUCAUAAAAAAAUAUUUUUUGUUGUUAUGUAUAUACUAUGUAAUGAGGCCUACAACUCAACUUGACUGCUUCUUUACACAUGGAAAAGAGAUUAUAAUAGCCCUUCUAGAGUAAGGAGCAUUCUCCUGAUUUGGAUAGUUCACAUAUUGUUAUUCAUGAUAUUGAUUUGAUUCAAUAUCAUCAAGAAUAGAAAGCUUCUAACGAUAUGUUAUUCAGUUUAUAAGCUUAAAAAUAAUUUAAAUUAGUCAACUUAUCUAGCACUCAAAACUUCAAUGUGUUUUUAACACUAUUUGUAAUUUACAUUAAAGCCUUUGACAGACAGAUACAUGUUAAUGCUCAAGAAAAAUAAUUAAAGCCUCUCUACAAACACAACUUUGUACCGUUUGACUAUAAACACCCGACUAACUUUUCUGACCCAUUGAGAAAGUCAAUCAAUUUUAGUAGUUUCAAUACCACUAACACACAAGCAACACUUCAGUCAGGAAUCUUUCUGAUUUAGUUAUAAAGUAGUUUUCCAUUCUUAAAAAGUUGUAAUGUACUUUUAAUGGCAUAAAAAUAAUUUGUUAUCACCAAUAUAGGUUAGCUAGCCAGCAAUUGAUGUGAAGUCACCCAAUUGACGUCUCAGGUUUUAUUUCUGGCGUGCCAUCCACUUUCUUAAAUUCUUUCAAUUGUCCUUAGAAAUGUCAUACUCC